Molecule: long non-coding RNA, 776 nt
Filed under: Cyanistes caeruleus (blue tit)
Lineage: Eukaryota; Metazoa; Chordata; Aves; Passeriformes; Paridae
Description: lncRNA (ENSCCEG00000023740.1)
Source: RNAcentral
GACUCAAUGAAGCAGAAAAACAAUGUUAGUCUUUGGUGGCCAGGGAAAAGGAGGAAAGCUCGUGGUGGUCUCCAGAUGAUCUGGCCCUGACUGAAGCAAAUCUCCUUCCACAAGGAGGGAGCAAAGGCCUGGCAAGUGCAGGUUUUAUUUCCAAGUGUUGCAAGGGAAUGUCAUAGAGAGAAUUUGGUUCCUAAGCAGCCCUGUUAUCAAUGAGCAGCUAAGAAAACACAUUAGGAACUUAAAGAUAUUAAAUGCAUCAGGAAGAAGAAAAAAAUUGAUUGUGAUAUUUCAAUCAGAAUUUUAAUUCCUGGUUUUGACAUUGCCAGGGUUUCCAUUUCAUGUCAAAAUGGUGCACAUUAGAAUAAAAGCCCUGGGAGAAGGAAGAAAGAUGUAAGCUACAAACACUGAAGGUGAUGCUGUCACAGAGUCAGGCCCAAUAUCCACUUCAGCCCUAACCUAAAACCACCAAGAGUUAAAACUUGGGAAGAGUCAGACCAUCGACAGUAAAGGGAGCUGUGCUUUCCAGGAGUGCCUACACCACUCAAAGCCAGGACUUUGCUUCAAAUCCCAUCCCUCACUUUUGGGAUAUAAAGGGGCUGCUCCAAGGCCAUGGAUCAAGGACUGAGCAAGUCCAGGUCACAGUUUUGAAUGUUCCUGCUCAGGACAUGCUAAAGAAUCUAAAAGUUCAGCAAAGUGGCUGCACAUUGGGGCAUGAAAGUGCACUUACAGGAUUAUUUUUUGCAUUGAAGAGAAAUCAAGCAUUUUCUUCUGUAUAA